Molecule: long non-coding RNA, 9002 nt
Filed under: Solanum tuberosum (potato)
Lineage: Eukaryota; Viridiplantae; Streptophyta; Magnoliopsida; Solanales; Solanaceae
Description: long non-coding RNA (STUB_LNC010708)
Source: RNAcentral
UGAUUGUACUUGUAUAUGUAGAUGAUUUGUUAAUCACAGGGAAUGACUCCACAUUGAUACAAGAAACCAAAUAGGUUCUGCACAAACAUUUCAAAAUCAAAGAUUUAGAUGAGCUGAGAAAUUUUCUGGGAAUAGAAUUUUGCAGAUCAGAGAAGGGAAUUGUUAUGAACCAAAGGAAAUAUGCUUUAGAGUUGGUGUCUGAAGCUGUUCUAGCAGGGGGAGACCUUCAUCUAUACCUUUGGAAUGUAUCAUGAAACUUACUAGUGCAGAGUUUUUUGAUUCUGAUGCAUUAUUCACUGAUAUAGCUAAAUAUCAAAGGUUGAUUGGGAAGUUGCUCUAUCUUACUAACACCAGACCUAACAUAGGUUUUUCAGUUCAGUGUCUGAGUCAAUUUAUGCAGAAGCCUACUAUGUCUCACUAGAAUACAACUCUGAAAGUAGUGAGAUAUAUCAAGGCUGCACCAGGUCUAGGACUACUUAUGAGUGCCGAGAAACAAACAAACCUUACUAGCUUUUGUGAUGCAGAUUGGGCUGCACGCCCCAACACAAGAAGGUCAGUGACUGGAUUUUUACUGAAGCUUUGAUAUCUUGGAAAUCAAAGAAGCAGAACACAGUUUUCAGGAGUUCUGCAGAAGCAGAAUAUAGAAGUUUGGUUACAUUGACUGCUGAGGUGGUUUGACUGACUAAAUUGUUUAAUGAAUUGGGGCUGAGCUUAGAUAAACUUGUCACCAUUCAUUGUUAUAGCAAAGACAGAUUUACAGAUAGCAGCAAAUCCCGUGUUUCAUGAGAGGACGAAGCACAUAGAAAUUGAUUGCCACUUUAUCUGGGAAAUGAUGCAACAGGGCUUGAUAAGAACAAGUUAUAUCAGCACCAAGGAUCAACAGGCUGAUUUGUUGACAAAGGCACUUGGGAGAACUCAAUAUGAUUUUCUACUUUCCAAGCUAGGUGUUUUGAAUAUCUUCAGUAGACCUAGCUUGAGGGGGAGUAUUGAAGAUGAAGGUUCAAGUAGUUAGUUAGGUUCACAAAGUUAGUUAAGGGUUAAUUAAUUGUACUUGUCAUCAUUAUAGUCGGUUAAGUUUGUUACACAAUUCUAGAAGAUUAGAAGUAGUUAGCAAGUAGUUAGUAACUAGUACAAUUGUAUAUAUAGGAGCUCUUUCUUUCUGUAAUCACAGUUUUAGUAUGCAAUACAAAAUUUCUCAAUUCUCUCUUCUCUCUUCCUAAAUUCAUCAUAUAUAUAUAUAUAUAUAUAUAUAUAUUCUAUUAUUAAAGUUACCUAAGUUUCAUAAGUGGUCCCUAAAUUAUAUUUCCUUAAAUCAAAACCAGACAAUUUAUUUUUAGCACAUAAAAAUCAUUAGACACUGACCAUUGUAUUCAAAAAUCACAAUGCUAAAAAAUUUUAAACUUGUGUAUUGUUAAGGGGAAUUUCAAUCUAUCUUAAUGAUGCUAAGGGAAUUGAAAAGCUUCUUUAAUGUAUCUAGGUUGGACACAAAUACAGUAAAAUCAAAUAUCUAUGGAGCGAAUAUGACAAGCCAAUGUGUAAAUAAUAUUUGUGAGUUGACUUGGUACCAAAAAGAGGCCUUACCUUUCAGAUAGAUAUCUCUCAAGAUAGAUAUACAUAAAUAUACAUAAUUUUUUCCGAAGUUAACGGAUGCACGUGUACACAAUCUAGAAGGGUGGGUCUGCCUCUAGCGAUGGGUGGAUCAUGUCUACGUGACACCCCAGAAAUUUUUUCGAACUAAGACUUGAACCAUCCUUCGUUGUGAGUAGGAUUUUUACCGAGCACGUCUCCGUCGACGUGCCUCUUUCAACGUGUUUUUUAAAAAUAAAAUUUAAAAAAUUAUUUCUUUUGUUCUUCUUUAAUUUAAUUAGUUUAUAAUUUUUUUUGAAAUAGAAUCCGUUUUAGCUAUAACUUUUAGUUUUAAAUUCAAAACUUAACGCUGAAGCGGGAAAAAAAGUAACUAACAACUUAAAUCAUGUUAAAAUUUAAUCAACUUGCUAAAUUCUACCUUUCUCUUAUUAUAUAAGAGACCGUUUGUGUUGAAGCAGACACGUCUCCGUCGACGUGCCUGCUUCAUCGUAUUUUUUUUUAAAAAAAAACUUAAAAUUUAUUUCUUUUUCUCUACUUUAAUUUAAUUAUUGUAUAAUUUUUUCGAAAUUAUGAAAUCAUUUUUAGCUAUGACUUUUAGUUUUAAAUUCAAGACUUCACGUUGAAGCAGGAUAAAAAGCAAUUAACUUAAAUCAUAUUAAAAUUUAUUCUACUUUCUAUAUUCUACCUAUGUCACAUAAAUUAAAUUAAAAAUAAAACUAAAAUAUUAGGCCCGUGCUAGCACGGGCACCUAUUUCUAGUAUAUAUAUAUAUAUAUAUAUAUAUAUAUAUAUGCGCAAGGACAAAGCCAUAAGUGUGUGAGGGCAUUUUUAUAUUAAUUUUAAUACGAUAUGUGGGACCUACAACGUGCUUUUCCUCAACCAUUUUUUUCUCGUUCCUGCUUUUCUCUUUCAUGUUUUGUUUCAUUUUCUAUCUUUUUAGUGGAGUAUCUAUUUUGAAACCAAUUUCAUUAUUACCUAAUUUUUAUUUUUGCUUAUCAUAAAAAUAAAAUUUUCUUUUGUCUUAUAUAUUUUAUUAAAUAAAAAAUAUAUUGUUUUUUUAAUAUUAUUGUAUCACUAAAUAAAUGCAUAAGAUAUUAAUAGUCAAACUUAAUAUUUUAAAACAUAAUUAAUAAAACAAAUUUAAUAAAAUAAACCUCUAACAAAAUACAAGUGAAUCUAUAUAUAAAAAGAAUUGUGAAAUACAUAUUAUUAAAUUAUAUAUUAAAUAUUUAAAUAUUAUUGGCAUAUAGAAAAUAUGAGUGUUACAACUAUAUUGUUGUUGUUGUUGUUAAUAAAAUAAACCUCUAACAAAAUACAGGUGAAUCUAUAUAUAAAAAGAAUUGUGAAAUACAUAUUAUUAAAUUAUAUAUUAAAUAUUUAAAUAUUAUUGGCAUAUAGAAAAUAUGAUUGUUGUUGUUGUUGUUAUUAUUAGGUAUUUGUCCAUAAAUUCUAAAUAUAUUUUUUGGUUGCAAUUGUUGGCAUUGAAGAUGAAGUUGUGUUGGUUAUAUAGUUUGUAAAGAAUAUUUAAAAUGAUGUUUUUUUAAUGUACUUAGGUAAAUUGUUAAAAGUAAAAAAUAGUCUAGAAAUAGAUUAUUAGAUGUUCAAGUUUUUUAAUAUAACUUCAAAUUGAAAAUAAAUUAUAUUUCAAAUUUUGAUGGCCAAACGUUGAUUUUAAAAUAAAUUGAAAUAUUAUUACGAAAAAAAUAAAUAUUUUUAUGUUCGAAUGGAUCCUAAAACUAGAAGUUGAAAAAUAUAUGAAACAUAAAGAUGAUUUUUUAAAGAAUGAUAAAUGAAAAAUAAAAGAAAAAGAAACAAAAAGAAUUUUAAUAGACAAUUUUCAAAAUAUAAAUAACCAUUCAAAUAAUUAAUUUCAAUUUUUUACGCUCACAACCUCUAAUUAUCUACAACAUGGGCUUGACACAUUUUAUAUAAAAUUAUCCAGCUCUAACUUAUAUAUUAAUCACAAAAAAUCCAUUGGAAAUUCACUAAUCGAAAAAGAACAACGGAUAAACUAAUCAGAUCGUCUAACUAAUUUGACACAGGUCUUCAGGAAGUUGAGAAUUUGGAUAGAGCAUUAGUAAUUCACAAGGACUAUCAAGGCUUACAUGGAGACAGCUUGGGAGGGCAGGAUGCUGUGGUGUUAGAUACGGUGGAGUUUGAGAAAGAGCCUCAUCUGCAUUUAGAAGAUGUUGAUAACAGAUACAGGUCAGACAAUAGUGAGGAGCUCCUUACUGGUUGCUCACCUGUCAAUCAAGAACAUAUGCACAAUGUUAGUAUGAUUAGUGCUGCUCAAAAUGCAAUAAUCAAGUUUUCAGGGGUAAUCAAACAAAGUUCUCCUAUCAAAGAACUUCAUGAUUUGGUUUCUCAUAAAAUUGUAGAUAAAGACAACACUUCAGUAGAGGUAACAAAUCAACAGCAAAAUGAUCUAGUAAUAAACAAGGAUGAAAAUGAAAACUACAGUGAUCAUGCACAGGUUGUAAAUAAUGCAGGAGGUUCCCCUCAAGGGAAAUCAAAGAAGAAGAAGACUAAAUCUCAAGGGGAUAAGCCUAUUAGGAUUAACCCUAUGAGGUCUGGUAGAGCUAUGUCAAAAUGAUCUUUAAAGCAUUAAUAUGGAAUAUUAGAUCAAUUAGAUCUAAACAUUCUUUCCAUAGAGUGCAAAUGCUUCAUAGACAUCACAAAUUUGAUUUGGUUGCCUUGAUGGAACCUUUUCAAGAGACUAGGCAGAUCCAACAGUAUAAAAGGAGACUAGGCAUGGCCUAUGCAAAUUAUAAUAUCAAUGGGAAGAUUUGGUUGUUUGUAAAGGAGGACAUUCAGGUGGAGGUUGUUUCAGAUUCUGAACAACAGUUGACUAUUAAGAUGUUAUUCCGUAGUGGAUAUCAGAUUGUUAGUACUCUUGUCUAUGCUAAGUGUACAACUGUUGAAAGAAUUCAAUUGUGGGAAGAUUUGUAUGUCAUUGGGCAAAAUAUGUAUUUCCCCUGGUGUGUUGGAGGGGAUUUUAAUAUUAUUAUGGAUGCCGAAGAAAAGAUAGGUGGUCUACCUGUCUAUCCUACUGAGGUGGAUGAUUUUGCAUUUUGUGUCAAUUCCUGUGAAUUAUUUGACAUUAAAUUCAAAGAUAGCCCUUUCACUUGGUGGAAUGGGAGGACGGAUGGUGAUUGUAUUUUUAAAAGAUUAGACAGGGUUGUAGGGAAUCAAGCAUUUUUGGAAGGGUUGGGUCAUGUGGAGUUAGAACAUCUAGCUAGGACAGGGUCAGAUCAUGCUCCUAUGUUGCUAUCUUGUGGAGUUAAAACUAUCCAGUUCCUCAAACCUUUUAGAUUCCUCAACUUUUGGUCUGAAAAGGAAGGGUUCAAAGACCUGAUUAGGCAAAAUUGGGUUGAUGAUCAUUCUGAUGAUGUGUUUGUUAAUUUAAAGCUCAAGAUGAAGAAGACUAAACUAGCUCUUUCUAAGUGGAGUAGAGAAAGUUUUGGGGAUAUUUUCAAACAAUUAGUUAUAAGGGAGGAUAUUCUGAAAAUCAAAGAAAAAUUGUUUGAGGAUGUUCCUUCUGAUGCUAAUAGAAUUAUCCUCAAUAGAGCUCAAGAAGAAUAUACAAAAUACUUGAAGUUUGAAGAGGAUUUCUGGACACAAAAGGCUGGGAUGCAAUGGUUCAUUGAAGGAGAUAGGAGCACUAAAUUCUUCCACAAUAUUGUAAGAGGAAGAAGAAGAUUAGAAAUAUCCAAAAUGCAUAAAGCUGAUGGUACAUGGGCUGAAGGAAGUGAAGUUGAGGGAGAGGCUGUAAAAUUCUUUCAAGAUCAAUUUUCCAGUGAUUUGCAGGAGUCUAGUCUACCCCUUGUGGAUUUAAUUCCCUCUUUGAUUAAGGAGGAAGAUAAUGCAAUGCUUAAUAGGAUUCCCUCUUCUGAGGAGGUUAGAAAGGUGGUCUUUGAACUUAAUGGAAAUAGUACAAGUGGACCUGAUGGUCUGACUGGACACUUCUAUCAAGUUUGCUGGGAUAUAGUAGGAGAUGAUGUUGUGAAGGUGGUACUUGCUUUUUUUGAUGGGAUGACUCUCCCUAAAUUCAUCACCCAUACCCACCUUGUGUUGAUUCCUAAGAAGGAGAAAGUGAUUUCAUUUGUUGAUCUAAGGCCUAUUAGUCUGAGAAACUUGAUUAAUAAUGUUAUUUCCAGAGUUGUUCAUGAUAGACUGGAAGUAUUCUUACCUACUCUUAUUUCUGCUAAUCAAUGUGGUUUUGUUAAAGGAAGAAGUAUUACAGAAAAUGUCCUACUUGCUCAGGAGAUUAUUGUGGAUAUCAGGAAGAAGAGUAAAACUACUAAUGUGGUGUUUAAACUUGACAUGGCUAAAGCAUAUGACAGGGUAGAUUAGAGCUUUUUGAUUAAAGUAUUGGAAAAAAUGGGCUUUAACACAGUAUUUAUUGAUAAAAUAUAGAGGCUGGUGGCCAACAAUUGGUAUUCUGUGUUGGUUAAUGGCCAAGCUUGUGGAUUUUUUCACUCAACUAGGGGUGUUAAACAAGGAGAUCCUUUAUCUCCUUCUUUAUUCAUUCUAACAGCUGAAGUCCUUACUAGGGCCCUUAAUAAUUUGUUCAGCUAUGCAGGGUAUCAAGGGUUUGGUCUUCCAAAGUGGAGUGAACAGAUUAAUCAUCUUGCCUAUGCUGAUGACACUAUCAUUUUUGCUAAGGCAGACAAAUUUUCUUUGAACUUGAUUAUGAGGACUUUACAAGAUUAUGAAUCCCAAUCUGGUAAAAAAUUCAAUAAAGAAAAGAGUGCAUAUUUUGUUUAUCACAAGGCAGCACAAAGUGACAUCCAGAUGAUAGAAGAGUGUAAUGGUUUUACCAAAGGUAAGUUCCCUCUAACUUAUCUUGGGUGCCCAAUUGGGCAUGGCAGGAAAAGGAAAACUCAAUUCUCUGAACUCAUUAAAAAGGUUCAAAACAAAAUUCAAGCUUGGAAAGGGAAGCUUCUGUCGUUUGAGGGUAAGUCUGUAUUGAUCACUAAUGUAUUACAGAGUGUUCCUAUAUAUCAGUCGUCUGCUAUCAUUCCUCCCAAAUGUGUCAUUCAUGAUCUUCAUAGAAUCUUUGCAAGAUUUCUAUGGAAUUUUAAGGAAGUAGGAAGAAAUAAACACUGGGUUUCCUGGAACAAUGUAUGCUUACCCAAAAAAGAAGGUGGUCUAGGAUUUAGAUCCUUAUUUGAUGUUUCAAGAGCUUUAUUUGCUAAACUAUGGUGGAAUUUUAGAACAAAAAAUACUAUGUGGUCCCAGUUUAUGUGGAAUAAAUACUGUAAAAGGCACAGACCACAAACAGUAGAGUGGAGAGGGGGUUCUCAAACCUGGAAAUAUAUGCUAGCUGCUAGAGAUUUUUUUGAUCAGGAAAUAUGGUGGCAACCAAAUGGUGGGCAUUCUAGUAUCAUGUUUGACAAUUGGACACAAUUAGGGGAUCUAUAUUACUACCUACCAGUGUCUAAUAAUAAUGAAUGGAUGCAUAGAGAUGUUGAUCAAUUAUUUCAUGAAGGGAGGUGGAAUGAAGAGCUCUUAAGGACCGUAUUCCCUGAGAAUGUUGUAAAUCAUAUUCUCAAUGAUAUUGAGAGAUUUCAGGAUUCAGAGGAAAGAGAUAUUCCUAGGUGGAUGUUAAACAACUCAGGGAAAUUCUCAAUGAAGUCUGCAUGGGACAAUAUCAGAAUCCCUGGAAUUGAGGAUGAUAGUUUUGCUAGGAUGUGAGAGAAGGGUGUACCUUUUAAAGUAUCUUUCUUUUUCUGGAGAUUAGCAAUGAAAAGGAUCCCUAUUGGUGAAGUCCUAGCCAGAUUUGAAACUGAGGAGGAGAUGGUGUGUUGCUGUUGUGAUCAGAUGGCUAAUGAAAGUUUUCAACACCUCUUUGUCUCCUGCCUUGCUGCUAAUCAAAUGUGGAGUAGUUUUACUAGAGCUGCUGGUGUAGAAGGUCCUUUUCUUCAGAUAAAGGACACAGUGUAUAAGUGGUGGAAUGCAACUUGUUCAGCUAAUCUUAGACCUCUAUUCAAUGCUAUACCUGGUCUAAUACUCUGGCAAAUUUGGAAAAAGAAGAAUAGAAUAAGACAUGGUGACAAAAUGAAUGUGCAAGGAAUGAUAAAUGGAAGUAAACAAGAACCUGCACAUGUUAGCUGUUUUUAGAUACCCUUGGCUGAGGAAUAUCCCUGAGGAUUGGCCAAAUUUGGUGCAUUUCUUUGAAGGAUAUAAACCAAUCUUAGUUCCUAAGGUCAUUCAUUGGAAACCUCCUAUGGAGGGGACCUAUAAAUGUAACUCAGAUGGAGUUUCUAAAGGAAAUCUUGGACAAAGUGCUGGUGGGUUUUGCAUCAGGGAUUGGAAAGGUGAAUUUAUAUUUGCUGCAACCUAUGAUCUUGGCAAAAGAACAGGUUUGCAGGCUGAAACUAGUGCCAUGGAGAAAGGUUUAAAUUAUUGUGUUACACAUAAUUUACUUCCUGUGUGUUUAGAGACGGAUUCACUGGUUUUGACCAAGAUUUUAAAUGGGGUAUUGGAGGUCCCUUGGAGCAUUAAAAUUCAGAUUCAGAAGAUUGAAUUUUUGAGAAACAAUAGGGAGGUUGCAGUGCUACAUACGCUCAGGGAAGGCAACAAAGUGGCAGACUACUUCACUAACUUUAUUUUUUCUUUUGCAGGUACAUAAAAUAAAACUUUCCAAUCAAUUCAAGAUGUACCAAAGGAAGGAAAAUCCUUAGUACUCAUGGAUGCAAAUCAGAUUCCAAACAUUUGAAUUACUAAAAUGCAAAAUAAACUCUAUGGUUUGUAGUUUCGAACUAUAAUCUUUGCACAAAAUGAAAUGCAAUUGCAGUAUAAGUCAAGCAGAGGAGAGAAAGGAAAUACCUAACAAAUAUACAUAGACUUUAGAUCCUAGCUUCUUAGACAGUGGUAUCAGUUCCCUCGGAGCUCAAUCUGUCAAGAGGCGAAGAUCUAAGGAAAAUGGUUUUCUACAAGGCACUGAUAUCUGGAGAAAGCUCCAAAGAAGAUAGAUCUGUACAGCAAUGUAAGGGCAAUGAAUAACAAUGUGAUAUUGAGAUUCUUGUUGAAUAAUCGAUAGGGAUGUGGGGGUUACCUCUCACACAGGAAAGGGACCAAUGUUUUGAGCUGAAGAAGUCUUCAACGGACAAGAAUACAUGGCGUUAGUGAGAUUUUUAACGUCUUGAUGUACUCUAUCCAAGCUCGAUGAUAUGAGUCUCUAGUUCCACAGUGAGUAAGGUCUAACUCCUAUCUCAUCAUUUGCACAAGGAUCUUUGAUGUAGGUCCACCAUAGCUGCCGGAGUCGAGAAGAGGUUGACGGAGGUCCACCAUUGAUGACGGAAGAUUUAGAGACAGUGGUGUCUUGACUAUAGGAGGGUUUUGUCUUUCCCCUUUUUAUUUGUUUUUUGUUUCCAUUUCUUGUUUCAGAUUUUGGAUUAGGCGUUUUGGGAC